This 465-nucleotide ribosomal RNA is filed under the name uncultured Klebsiella sp. RNAcentral's name for it is "bacterial SSU rRNA". It matches the Rfam family "Bacterial small subunit ribosomal RNA", at positions 338 to 795 of the family's 1533-position model. The record is from RNAcentral. Lineage: Bacteria; Pseudomonadati; Pseudomonadota; Gammaproteobacteria; Enterobacterales; Enterobacteriaceae.
CCUACGGGUGGCAGCAGUGGGGAAUAUUGCACACUGGGCGCAAGCCUGAUGCAGCCAUGCCGCGUGUGUGAAGAAGGCCUUCGGGUUGUAAAGCACUUUCAGCGGGGAGGAAGGCGUUAAGGUUAAUAACCUUGGCGAUUGACGUUACCCGCAGAAGAAGCACCGGCUAACUCCGUGCCAGCAGCCGCGGUAAUACGGAGGGUGCAAGCGUUAAUCGGAAUUACUGGGCGUAAAGCGCACGCAGGCGGUCUGUCAAGUCGGAUGUGAAAUCCCCGGGCUCAACCUGGGAACUGCAUUCGAAACUGGCAGGCUAGAGUCUAGUAGAGGGGGGUAGAAUUCCAGGUGUAGCGGUGAAAUGCGUAGAGAUCUGGAGGAAUACCGGUGGCGAAGGCGGCCCCCUGGACAAAGACUGACGCUCAGGUGCGAAAGCGUGGGGAGCAAACAGGAUUAGAUACCAGGGUAGUC